RNAcentral lists this long non-coding RNA (2333 nucleotides) under Anolis carolinensis (green anole). RNAcentral's name for it is "lncRNA (ENSACAG00000037539.1)". The record is from RNAcentral. Lineage: Eukaryota; Metazoa; Chordata; Lepidosauria; Squamata; Anolidae.
UGGCUUUCCCAUUCUACUCCUGAUCUGGUCCUGCCCUUCAACGGCGCUCUUCCUUCCUCCCUUCCUGGAUGGAUGUUCCGUGCCUGCAGGGGGCGCCAUGGAGACCUUUGUGAUGCGCUGCAGCAUCUCCAACUGAAGGCUGUUUCCUCUGAAAGCUCACUUUCCUCUUUACAUCAGGAAGGAAGGCAGUUGCUGUCUUUCUCUCGUGGUUCUUGCUCCUUGCCCGUUGCUUUGGCAGCCUGUAGCUGUGUCGCCUGGUUUGGUCCACAUCCCGGUGAGAUACGCCUUGUUGAUUCCUCGCUUCACCUGCCAAGUCCGUCCCAUAUCAUGCUUUGUGUGGAUUCCAUUUUCUUUUGAGGCCUGUUUUUUCUUUUCUUCACAAGCACCCACACAAACACUCCAGUUCCUUACACACACACCCUUCAUACAUAUACAGUAGAGUCUCACUAAUCCAAGCCUCGCUUAUCCAAGCCUCUGGAUAAUCCAAGCCAUUUUUGUAGUCAAUGUUUUCAAUAUAUCGUGAUUUUUUGGUGCUAAAUUCGUAAAUACAGUAAUUACAACAUAACAUUACUGCGUAUUGAACUACUUUUUCUGUCAAAUUUGUUGUAUAACAUGAUGUUUUGGUGCUUAAUUUGUAAAAUCAUAACCUAAUUUGAUGUUUAAUAGGCUUUUCCAUAAUCCCUCCUUAUUAUCCAAGAUAUUCGCUUAUCCAAGCUUCUGCCGGCCCGUUUAGCUUGGAUUAGUGAGACUCUACUGUAUAUAUUUAAUAUAGUGAAAUAGUUAACAUGCAUCACAAUUCAUAAUUGCCUUUCUAACUAUUGCAAUUUGUUUUCAAUUCCAGAGAAUUGAUUAGUAGUGUUUCAUGCAUCUCAAAUGCCAUAGUAUACAUAAUAUCCGUAGGAAUACGAGUAUCCCUCUUCAUAAUAUUGGGUGCAUCAGUAGAUGUAAACAUACUGCUGCUGCUUUGGAUGAAUAUCCUUUGAAUAUAUCAUACCCGUGACAUUCUGUUGGGCUGCUUCCUUCUACCGCCACUCUCUGGCAUUUUCCAUCAACCUGUUGAAUCCUAACAAAAUCUUUCUUAGUUCUUUCCUCAUAACUUAGUUCUUUCCUCAUAACUCUCCAAAUGUUUCCUCACACGUUCAUUUGUUUUUACUAGUAUGUUUAAUUUUUCCCAAUUAAUUCCUAAUACUCUAUUUGUUGAUAACUUUUUAAACUUCAGGUCUAUUUCACUGUCUCUGUUUUCCAUCACAUACAUCAAAUUCCCAGUUUCAUAAUCUUGAAAAAAGCUUGCAUUACAUUUACAUUUCAACCCAUUGUUCGUUUAUCGAGUUCUAUUAUAUUUCCAUCAGGCCAUAACAUUAGCUGAACAGUAGUAACACAAAGACACCCCGUUCCUGUAUCUUGUAUGAAUGUAUCAUGACCCAUGUCUUUAACCUACACAUACCAUCCUCUGUUUAUACCACACGUGGUCCUAUCUGUGUGAGGUGUGGUGGGCACCCAUAACCUGCCUUGGACCGCAAGAAUAUCUAACCAGUCCAUACUCCAGGAAAGAAAGCCCGACUGCUCACUGGAGGGAAGGAUGUUAGAGGCAAAGAUGAAGUCCUUUGGCCACAUCAUGAGAAGACAGGAAAGUUUGGAGAAGAUAAUGAUGAUGGGUAAAAUUGAAAGAAAAAGGAAGCAGGCCGACCAAGGGCAAGAUGGGUGGAUGGGAUCCUUGAAGGGACUGACUCCACCUUGAAGAAGCUGCAGGUGGCCUCGGCCGACAGGGAGCUCUGCCCUGGGAUGGUCCAGCAGGUCACCAAGAGUCAGAAGCGACUGAACGAAUAACCAACAACAGAAGUCCCAUAGGAUGUGGUGUCGGAGCUCAUGAGUGGUAAGAGCAAGGUGUUGGGAUUGGGGAAAUAAGGUGUGUAUGUGAUGGAUGAGAUUUUGAAAACUGUCUGUUUCUUUGAUUUUCUUCAUAGAACGUAAAAAAAAAAAAGAACGUAAAAAGUUUUACUCCAUGCAUUGGCUCCGGUUUCGCAGAAAUGAGUUGAACCAAUUGAGGGCCUGACCACGAACUCCGGACAUGGCGAGAUGGUGAAUCAUUAGAUCGUAGUCAACGGUGUCAAAUGCUGCGGUAAGGUCGAGAAGUACCAGUAGCGCUGAUCCGCCGCUAUCAGACUGGCGACGAAGUUCAUCUGUAAUGGCAACCAGGACUGUCUCCGUCCCAUGGCCAGGGCGGAAGCCUGACUGGAAAGGGUCCAGGCCGGCUGUAUCAUCCAGAAAUUGUUGCAAUUGUCCCAGCACAGCCCGCUCUAUCAUCUUACCCAAGAAUGGGAGGUUGGAGACAG